GACGAACGCUGGCGGCGUGCCUAAUACAUGCAAGUCGAGCGGACGAAUCGAAAGCUUGCUUUUGAUUCGUUAGCGGCGGACGGGUGAGUAACACGUGGGCAACCUGCCCUUUAGACGGGGAUAACACCGAGAAAUCGGUGCUAAUACCGGAUAACACGAAAUGUCGCAUGACGUUUCGUUGAAAGACGGCGCAGGCUUUCGCUACAGGAGGGGCCCGCGGCGCAUUACGUAGUGGUUGAGGUAACGGCUCACCAAGGCGCCGAUGGUUAGCCGACCUGGGAGGGGGAUCGGCCACCCUGGGACUGAGACACGGCCCAGACUCCUACGGGAGGCAGCAGUAGGGAAUCUUCCGCAAUGGACGAAAGUCUGACGGAGCAACGCCGCGUGAGCGAAGAAGGCCUUCGGGUCGUAAAGCUCUGUUGUUAGGGAAGAACAAGUAACGCAGUAACUGGCGUUACCGUGACGGUACCUAACGAGAAAGCCACGGCUAACUACGG
RNAcentral lists this ribosomal RNA (497 nucleotides) under uncultured bacterium. RNAcentral's name for it is "partial 16S ribosomal RNA". It matches the Rfam family "Bacterial small subunit ribosomal RNA", at positions 28 to 506 of the family's 1533-position model. The record is from RNAcentral.